Molecule: transfer RNA, 74 nt
Filed under: Vulcanimicrobiota bacterium
Lineage: Bacteria; Bacillati; Vulcanimicrobiota
Description: tRNA-Arg
Rfam family: tRNA
About the family: Transfer RNA (tRNA) molecules are approximately 80 nucleotides in length. Their secondary structure includes four short double-helical elements and three loops (D, anti-codon, and T loops).
Source: RNAcentral
GCGGUCGUAGCUCAACUGGAUAGAGCAACAGGCUACGAACUUGUAGGUUGGGGGUUCGAGUCCCUCCGACCGCA